Long non-coding RNA from Choloepus didactylus (southern two-toed sloth), 327 nucleotides. RefSeq lists it as uncharacterized. The record is from RefSeq and is a predicted model, not a curated record. NCBI's taxonomy places the organism in Eukaryota, Metazoa, Chordata, Mammalia, Pilosa, Megalonychidae. The transcript is spliced from 3 exons.
CGACAACUUUGACGAACUCCUCAGGAAACGAACUGGCAACUUCGAUGAGCUCCCCAGGACAUUAAAGAGUCAUUGCGGGGAGGACUGUGGGAAGAUGGUGGAGUAGGAAACUCCAGGAAUCAGUCCCUCCAUCAGAACAACUAUUAAACAAGCAGUAACCGUCUGAAUCAACUAUCUCCAAACACUGGAAUCUAUCCAGGGAAGAGCAGAAGAAGAAUCUGUGCACAGCCUUCAGUACUCCAACAGCAGCGGUAGUCUGUCGUUCAAAACCUUGUCCUAUAUGAUCUGCAUGGGCUCUUGUCCUAUCUUCAAAGAGCAUCUCACGGG